GCAUAUCAAUAAGCGGAGGAAAAGAAACUAACAAGGAUUCCCCUAGUAACUGCGAGUGAAGCGGGAACAGCUCAAGCUUAAAAUCUGCAAGUAUUUUCAUACUUGUCGAGUUGUAGCUUAUGGAUGCAGUCAUCGACUCUGCGACAUAGUAAAAGUUCUUUUGAAUAAGACAUCAGAGAGGGUGAAAAUCCCGUAUUUGACUAUGUUAUUAAGCAGGGGAAUGUGAACUGUUUUCUUUGAGUCGGGUUGUUUGGGAAUGCAGCCCUAAUUAGGAGGUAAAUUUCUUCUAAAGCUAAAUAURAGCAAGAGACCGAUAGCAAACAAGUACCGUGAGGGAAAGAUGAAAAGCACUUUGAAAAGAGAGUGAAAAGUACGUGAAAUUGUUGUAAGGGAACCGGUUAGUAGCCAAGCAUCACUUUUAUGGGAUAGUUUACUAUUCUUGAUUGUGGGGUCAACAUCGGUUGUUUACUGCCUGAAAGRAAAGGUGUAGGUGAGCGGGGGAAAGAUAGGGUAGUUGUUGGCUAGUGGAUUUAUUCAUUAGCAUUUACGGCAAUUGCUUGUUAUAGACCCCCAUAAAUCUGCUUUAAGCCUAGAGGUGGUAACGACCGAGGAACGCAGUGUGGUCAAUUUAUUGGCCUGGUCGGAUUUAGGAGAAUAUUGUUGAUUUAGCUUUGUUAGACAGCUUGCUGACUAGCGAAAUGAGUUGAUAUAUUUAAUCCUAUAUUUGAACUAAGAAGCACUUUGGAUGUUGGCGAAAAGGCACUAAUCGACCCGUCUUGAAACACGGACC
This 790-nucleotide ribosomal RNA is filed under the name Pennella simulii. Its description in RNAcentral is "eukaryotic LSU rRNA". It matches the Rfam family "Eukaryotic large subunit ribosomal RNA", at positions 38 to 667 of the family's 3401-position model. The record is from RNAcentral. Lineage: Eukaryota; Fungi; Kickxellomycota; Harpellomycetes; Harpellales; Legeriomycetaceae.